AUUGUGUGGCUGGACUCGGCCGCCCCUGUGGUGUGAGGCGCGUGUUCGGGCUCUUGCCGUCCCCGCACCCGCACCGCGGUUACUGGCUUGCGGUCCGCCGUUCGACAACCAGCCCUUGGGUCCCCGCCCGCCACGGACAUGCCGCGCGUCUACAUAGGACGCCUGAGCUACAACGUCCGGGAGAAGGACAUCCAGCGCUUUUUCAGUGGCUAUGGCCGCCUCCUCGAAGUAGACCUCAAAAAUGGGUACGGCUUCGUGGAGUUCGAGGACUCCCGCGACGCCGACGACGCCGUUUACGAGCUGAACGGCAAGGAGCUCUGCGGCGAGCGCGUGAUCGUAGAGCACGCCCGGGGCCCGCGUCGCGAUCGCGACGGCUACAGCUACGGAAGCCGCAUGACCAAUGGGGCUGAGGCUGUGUCCACUGAGGCUAAGAUGACUGCCUUUCCUGAUUGGCCUUGGCUUUUCCAUACAUUGUGUGACCCUUGCCCUAUGACCCUUUGGCUGACCUUACCGGAAGCCAUGACGACAGCAGCCUUUUGCCAUUAGACGCAGGGUGAUGGUGAGGAUUCCAAGGGUUAGACAAAACUGGUUAAUCUGAACUAGGUGACUGUUACCUUGCGUGUUUUGUGGCCAAACCACCACCAAAAACCUCACACUGUGAUGUGGUGGAGGUGGAUACAGCAGUCGGAGAACAUCUGGCAGAGACAAAUACGGACCACCUGUUCGUACAGAAUACAGGCUUAUUGUAGAAAAUCUUUCUAGUCGGUGCAGUUGGCAAGAUUUAAAGGAUUUUAUGCGACAAGCAGGUGAAGUAACCUAUGCGGAUGCCCACAAGGAACGAACAAAUGAGGGUGUAAUUGAGUUUCGCUCCUACUCUGACAUGAAGCGUGCUUUGGACAAACUGGAUGGCACAGAAAUAAAUGGCAGAAAUAUUAGGCUUAUUGAAGAUAAGCCACGCACAAGCCAUAGGCGAUCUUACUCUGGAAGCAGAUCCAGGUCUCGAUCUAGAAGACGGUCACGAAGUAGGAGUCGCAGGAGCAGCCGCAGUAGAUCUCGAAGUAUCUCAAAAAGUCGCUCCCGUUCCAGGUCGCGGAGCAAAGGUCGAUCACGUUCUCGAUCAAAAGGCAGGAAAUCUAGAUCAAAGAGCAAAUCUAAGCCCAAGUCUGAUCGGGGCUCCCAUUCACAUUCUCGAAGCAGAUCUAAGGAUGAGUAUGAGAAAUCUCGAAGCAGGUCUCGGUCCCGAUCCCCUAAAGAAAAUGGAAAGGGUGAUAUAAAGUCAAAAUCCAGAUCAAGGAGCCAGUCCCGUUCCAAUUCGCCGCUACCUGUUCCACCCUCAAAGGCCCGUUCUGUGUCCCCUCCACCAAAAAGAGCUACUUCAAGAUCCCGUUCUAGAUCUCGCUCAAAGUCAAGAUCAAGGUCCAGGUCGAGUUCCAGAGAUUAACUCAGAACUCCUUGUUUGCACAUUAUUAUGGAACACUUUCCUACUUAGGCAGUUACUCUUCCAUGUUUAUACUUGGCCUCUUCUGCAAGAGGAAUCUCUUGAAAACAGGGGCACACAGAAAUUUGAUUUGUGGCCAAAUUGGAUGAAAAAGAUGAGGCUCUAAGGAAAUGGUGGCAUGAAGACCCUCUCCCUUCUUUGUAGAAUUAAGAUAACUUUGAUUUUAUAGCUUUUGAGCUAACGUAACUUUUGUAAAGAUUAAGCUCAUUUAGUGUUGUUUUUUUUUUUUUUUUUUUUUUUUUUUUUUUUUUUUUAGUAUUUCAGCAGGAUCUGCUGGCAGGGUUUUUUUGUUUUAUUUGUUUGCUUAUUUUUAAAUUAACUGUUUUGAGCUUUGAAUACUUAAGGCUUUAGAGGGAGAACCCAAUUUUCAAUUAUGUUGGCUUUUUAUAAAGCUUGAGUUAUGUAAGAUUUAAAUAAAAGUUUGCUACCAAGAUGAUUGCCUUAUUGAAUAGGUCACUAUUAAAUUCCUUUAAAUGUUGAUAUCUGCCAUUUGUGGAAACAACGUAAAUUCUACUUAAGUGUAAACAAGGCAAGCCUCAGACCAGCAAUAAAUUACUCAGUUUGGAUAACAUUAUUUUGUGCAGUUAAUCAAAUUUGCCAAAGUCUUUAUCUGCCCCUUUAACAAGUUGAGUAAAAAUAAAAGGUAUUUUUUAGUCAAUGUGUUCCAUGAUUUUGCUUAAAUUAAUACUUUUAAGUAAUGGAACUUUUUUCAAAGGCAAAUUUAAACUAUUUAAGAAAUAGCUCCUAAUACUUGGGAUCUUGUUUAGAGAAUCCACUUUCUGGAAGUUCUCAGCAUAAUUAGUGUUGAGAGUGGUUCAGUUGUCUUUAAUGUUUGUCAUGUGGAAAUGGAAGUAGCCUCUUUUUGUUCUGAAAUUGAGUUUAUUCAAAGUGUAAAAGCACAUACUGCAUUUUCUGCUGAAAGAUCAUUAUGUUUAACAGGCACUUAAUCUCAGUAAAGUCAGUUGCCAGUUAAGUUCCACCCAGUAGUCAGUCCCCUUUGUAGUUAGUGGGAUUAUUUGAUAAUUGGUUAGAUCAUACUUGUAAAUUUUAAUGCUUUGUGUAAUUGGUUUGAAAAACAGUGAAAUGGGUAAACGCAAAACUUUUGUACUUUAUUACGAGUAAAGUGUAAUGAGUACUGUGGAAACCAAAUUUGAAUACUGCAAAUUUGUAGGAGUUACUAGGUUAGCAAUUAGUCCAUACAUCCAUAAGCCUGAUGAGUUGAAAUUGCAGUUUGAGAAGUGAAUUAACCUUACAUCCCUUUGUUCAGAUACCUUAAAAGUUACUUUAUUUAAAAGCAUUUAUUAAUCUUAGUCUGAAAUCAAAAUAUAGAUUAAUUGGCUCAGCUUUAAUACCUUUCUAGGAGGUGUCACAAUGUAGGGUACCAAGGGUUGGAUUGUGAUGGGGCAUGGUCGUACACUGCUCAUUGUGCCACAGGUGUGACUGGAAAGCAUGAUAUUCUAGGGUUGGUUUGUAGAUUCAAAUAAUCCAGAAAUAUACCUAAUAAGAUUGAGUGAAAAAUUUGAGUCAAAUAUCUAGGGCAUUCACAGAGUAGCUGUGAGUUCUUGGUAAUGUGAAAAAGGCCUUGUUUUUCAGAAAUUCCUGGGUUUCCUGUUAAAAAAUCUUAAAGCCCAACCUUAGGAAUAUAGUGCCCCAAAAGGCGGAUGCUUCUUCCAUUAUCUUAUUUUCUUUGAUACUUUAUUUAAUUAGAUGUUUAUAAAGAAAUGGGUUUAUUUUUCCAGCAUAAACCUCAGAAUUUAAGGAAAGAAAAUGAUGUCUGUUGUUAUAGUUCAUUGUUUUGCCUACUCAGCAGAAGUGAUGACUCUUAAAAAUUGGCUUUGACCAAAGUUCUCUUGUUUUCAGGGAAAGAACAUAAAAGCUUUUUGAACUACAGCCUUUUUAAAAGAGGGAUGGGAGGAUAUUACAGUAAGAAAUUAGGCUUUCUAAAAGUAUGAAACAUCCUUCAACUGGGCUCUCUUGUUAAUAGGACAUCAUAUGGUAAUAGACUGGUUUGACUAUAUUGUUAGCUGCCACAGUAAGCAGGUCAUUGUAUAGGUAAAUGCCUGCACCCAUAAUUUUCUAGUAAUAGCCACGACCAAUUUAUUAACAGUCAGGGCCUAUCCUUGCCUGUAGUUCUCAGUCACUGGAUGCACAAAAUCACUGUGUAACAUUGGCUCACUUGGUGAGCAUAGGGUUGACUGAUAAAAUGUUUAAUUCCCUUGCUAGCUUGUGAGAAGAAUGAGUUGAUGACAUGCUCCAUACCAGUGGCUAGAUGGAGUAUUAAGGUGGAGCAGAAAAGAAGUGAGAACAUCUUGAUUCCCCUUUCUUUUACUUGAUGGUGUUUAUGAACAUGCCGUAGUGCCUUUAUGGCCAGUUUGAGUCCUGCCUACUUUGACUUUUACGUUCCCAUUCCUGUGUUACCACCUUCCUCCCGAUUUGUUCACCUAUUUUGUGCUUUAAAUCUCAAUAAAAUACUUACUGAGGGAAAGGCUUGUUUUGAGUUUAUUGCAUAUGCCCACUUAGGACCAGAUUCUUAACAAAUGUUUUUUUGAAUUGGAGUUUGCAUUGGCAAGCCAUUCCUGUCUUGAGUAUGAGAACAGGAUCUUGUGUUCACUUACCCAGAAACGUGAGUUUGGGAUUUAGUAUAUGGUUUAUGUUGGGCAACUCAUUAAUCACUGUGCUUCAGUGUCAUCCAUGAAACUAGGGAUAAAACAUGCAUGGGAUGUGAAGAUUAAAAGUCAAGAAUAUGAACAGUACAAGAGAGUACCAUAACAAAUACAAUUUUAUUUACAAAUAUACAUGGUUGGACCAUACCUUGGAAUCUACUUGCUAAUGCAGCUGCUGUUAACAGUUCUUGUAUCUGCUCAAGAGAUUUCUAUGAUCAUAUAAAAAUGCCUUUUUAGGUUUUCAGUGUUCAUGCCCUGAGUAGUAGUCUGCAGUUUGCUUUAAUACAUGGUAAUACAGAGAUCGGCUUUAAAUGGCUGGCUGGUUACUGUUGAAUGAAUGUAUGAUAAAUUUUUUUUCAGAACCAACAGUGUGAAUAAUCCUUUCAGUUGUCUAUCAGCAUGAAUUUAAAAAUUACUUUCAAGAUUCAACAUUACACAAUAAAACUUAGAGUUCUUGCAA
Homo sapiens (human) is the source of this 4621-nucleotide RNA transcript. It is a transcript of the gene named serine and arginine rich splicing factor 6, with no coding region annotated. Lineage: Eukaryota; Metazoa; Chordata; Mammalia; Primates; Hominidae. The transcript has 7 exons. The record is from RefSeq and is marked reviewed.